GCCGGGCGGGUCCUAAUUCUAUUUCGAAAGUCCCCCGCUCACCCGCCGAGGGUCAUUUGUAAAUUGGUAAAUUGACUCCGGAGGGGGGGAGGGGACUUCCACCUCGCACUCGUUAACUUUCUUUUCGAUUUGGACGAAAAACAAGCGGCGAAGGGGAAUUUUUUGUUUUGUCACUGACGUUGCGGAGUGAAAGAGUGGGGGAGGGACCAGGAUAAGAUACCUUGCUAGUCCACGCCGUACAACGAUGAGUGUUAAGUGUUAGGGGGUUUCUGCCCCUUAUUGUUGCAGCUAACGCAUUAAGCACUCAGCUUGGGGAGUACGGUCGCAAGACUGAAACUCAAAAGAAUUGACGGGGGCCCGCACAAGCGGUGGAGCAUGUGGUUUAAUUUGAAGCAACGCGAAGAACCUUACCAGGUCUUGACAUCCUCUGACAACCCUAGAGAUAGGGCUUUCCCUUCGGGGACAGAGUGACAGGUGGUGCAUGGUCGUGGUCAGCUCGUGUCGUGAGAUGUUGGGUUAAGUCCCGCAACGAGCGCAACCCUUGAUCUUAGUUGCCAGCAUUUAGUUGGGCACUCUAAGGUGACUGCCGGUGACAAACCGGAGGAAGGUGGGGAUGACGUCAAAUCAUCAUGCCCCUUAUGACCUGGGCUACACACGUGCUACAAUGGACAGAACAAAGGGCUGCGAGACCGCAAGGUUUAGCCAAUCCCAUAAAUCUGUUCUCAGUUCGGAUCGCAGUAGCAACUAAGAAAAAAGAAGCAGGAAUCGAUAGUAAUCGAGGAUCAGCAUGCCGCGGUGAAUACGUUACCGGGCAAGUACACACAGCAAAUCGCACCACGAGACUGAAACGUAAACCUUCCCCUUUUUUUUUUUU
RNAcentral lists this ribosomal RNA (874 nucleotides) under Bacillus pumilus. Its description in RNAcentral is "bacterial SSU rRNA". It matches the Rfam family "Bacterial small subunit ribosomal RNA", at positions 571 to 1533 of the family's 1533-position model. Lineage: Bacteria; Bacillati; Bacillota; Bacilli; Caryophanales; Bacillaceae. The record is from RNAcentral.